RNAcentral lists this unclassified non-coding RNA (190 nucleotides) under uncultured Peziza. RNAcentral's name for it is "sequence contains ITS1". Lineage: Eukaryota; Fungi; Ascomycota; Pezizomycetes; Pezizales; Pezizaceae. The record is from RNAcentral.
CUGAAAAACUUUUCAAGUUUUUUUAUAUCCCAUUGUCUACCUACCAUGUUGCUUCCACUGGGCAUGUUUUACCUAUGUAAAACCUUUGGCUUGUGUGAAUAACACAAGUUAAGGAAGUUGCCGGUGGCAAGACCAUCUACCAAAACUUGAUUAAAAAUACUGUGUCUGAAUCUUUUGCUUCAAUGAAAUA